CCUACGGGUGGCAGCAGUGAGGAAUAUUGGUCAAUGGGCGGAAUCCUGAACCAGCCAAGCCGCGUGCAGGAUGACGGCUCUAUGGGUUGUAAACUUCUUUUGUAUCGGAGUAAAAUGCCUUACGUGUCGGGUUUUGUAAGUACGGUACGAAUCAGGAUCGCCUAACUCCGUGCCAGCAGCCGCGGUAAUCCGGAGGAUCCGAGCGUUAUCCGGAUUCAGUGGGUUUAAAGGGAGCGUAGGUGGUUGUAUAAGUCAGCGGUGAAAGACCGAGGCUCAACCGCAGGACUGCAGUUGAUACUGUAAGACUAGAGAGCAGUAGAGGCAGGCGGAAUUCGUAGUGUAGCGGUGAAAUGCAUAGAUAUUACGAAGAACACCGAUUGCGAAGGCAGCUUACUGGGCUGGAACUGACACUGAGGCACGAAAGCGUGGGGAUCAAACAGGAGUAGAUACCCUAGUAGUC
This 460-nucleotide ribosomal RNA is filed under the name uncultured bacterium. RNAcentral describes it as "partial 16S ribosomal RNA". It matches the Rfam family "Bacterial small subunit ribosomal RNA", at positions 338 to 795 of the family's 1533-position model. The record is from RNAcentral.